Molecule: long non-coding RNA, 3777 nt
Organism: Piliocolobus tephrosceles (Ugandan red Colobus)
Lineage: Eukaryota; Metazoa; Chordata; Mammalia; Primates; Cercopithecidae
Exons: 5
Source: RefSeq, a predicted model, not a curated record
UCCGCCGGGGGAGCUGGGGUGCCACGCGGGCCACGUGCGCCCAGGAGUACUUAGGUGGCGGCUGCCCGCAGGCAGUGGGGAGAGACCCUCUGUGGGCAGGGUCUUGCGCCGGAACCGCCAUUCCUCAGCCACAGGGGCGCCCGGUAUCUUUCUGUUUUAAAUCCUGAAACUAUUGACGCCCCAGGCUCAGACCGGUGUCUACAACCAGGCGUUGACACGUCAAAGAUAUUAUGAGGAAGAAGAUGAAACUCAAAGCUGCUUUGAAACAUGGCUUCUGCUUCCAAUGGUGACUACUGUCUGAUACCAAGCAACCUCUCCAUGGACCUGGAACCAACUCUUCCAGAUUAUUUCUACCAGCAGCGAGAUAGCUGAGCCAUGGCAAUGCGCACAAGCUAUCAUGGGCCCAGAAUAUGAUGCUACACCAACAAAAGAAAGAACCUGAUGUCAUCUAGUCCGAUACCAACUGUCCAGAGAAGUGUUGGGAUAUGUGUCUCACUGAAGGCCACACAGCCAUUAGGGGCAGUCAGAUCUCCUGGCAUCUGGGCCAGAAAAUAUCCUGAGCACUUCAAACAUCUUAACAAGAACAAGCUGACUAUUCAUAACCAGGAUCAAGUAAGCAGAUCCCUGGAGAGAUGCCCUUUCAACCCUCCAUCUCUGCUAAAUGCCUGUUGGAUCCCAGCAGUGGAGCCUGCUAGAUGGUUGGAUUUACUUAGAACAGACUAUUAUGAAGGUCUGUUAGGGUUGGUGAAAAGAAUUCUAGACAAAUCUUCCAGGUUAGAAGAUAAAUGACAGUUCUUCCCAAAGGUAUUCUCAUGAGAAAGCACAGCAACCAUCCUACAGAGGGUUAAUAGUCUCCCCCCUCUCCAACCCCCAACUUGCUGUCAGAGAUCAGCUAAUCUGAUAAUUACGGCAACAAACACAGUUUAGACAAACAAGACCUGACCCUGAGGGUUUGGAAUGAAAACAUUUACUCUCUCCCUCCCCAGAGAGACGGUGCCUGGAGCAUACACACAGAGAGACACUGGGAAAAUACCCUUGUGCUGGAGCAACAGGGUGAAAACAUCUGUGUUCCUGAGCUGCUUAGGAAGAUAAAGUUGCUGGGGAGGCAGCUCGGGUCCGGGAGGCAGGAGGAGCGGGGAGUGGUGCAGUCCAAGGGUGUGCAUGUUUGGAGCAGAUGGAAAAUGUACCCCCAUAACUGGAGAUGUAAGCAAAUUGUAAUUGAUUUUACAACAGAGACAGAGUGAGAGGAAAGGUACAAAGGAGACCGAUGCAGGAUUUGAGUGAAAACCUGGGGAGUGGCUAACAGAAGAGAAACAGCUUAAAACACCAAAGUAGGAUUUAUUCCCGAGAGCAAGAGGUAUUCACAGCGGUCUUGAUUCUAAGUGAAUUUAAUAUCUGCCUGCCAGUGAGGAGACCCAAGCUCUAAAAGUCUAAGCUGGCCAGUCAUCCUCUUCCCAUCCCCUAGUUUGGCUUCUAAACUGAACAACAUGCCCUUUCCCCAUCCCUGCCAGGCCUCAAAAAUUAUCAAGCAAUUUUUUCCCCUUUUACUUAUAAAAGCAGCUUCCUAGAAGAAAUCUUUCUGGGUUGCUGAAACCAGAGAUUCUGACUUGGAUCUGCCUCAACCUGGAAUUCCAACAGUUACUCCUUUCCCAACUCCAGCCUGAAGUUUCCCACACAUCCCCGUCCUAGCGGCCACACAUCAUUUCGGUUUUGCCCAUGACUGAGGGUGAGUCAGCCGGCAAACACUCCUCGCCCCUUAGGAUUCUCCAAAUUAGAUCUAGGCAUCCACAUCCUUGGGGCAUUUGCAGAUCACAUGUAUGGAUGCACCAAGCUAAGAGGAUAACUGCUGUGAUUGAUGAUAGGAUCAAGAUUUUAAAUGAAUUCCAUAAGCUGAAAGAUGGUCUCAAAUCAAUAAGAAUGCACCAGGAAAAAAUGCAAAGCACUGCAUUUAGACCCAACAAUCAAUUGCACAAAUAUAGGAUGGAAAAUAAAAUAUAGACCUAGAAAACAACAAUGUAUGAAAAAACAGACCAGUUCUUGUUCGGCAAUUGGCUCAAUAUGAGACAGCAAUGAAUCUAUGUGCUUAAAUAGUGAAUGUAAUCAUGUAGGCAUUAAUAAAAGUAUUGUGAUCACAUUAAUAGUUCCCUAUGUUCUUAACAAGGGAAAGGUAGGAUAGGACUAAACAAAUCUUUUUUUUUCUUCCAACUUUAGCUGUUGGCUGACCAAGUACAUGGAGUCCUGUAGGUUGUGCAGAGCAGUUUUGUUUUUUGUUUUGAUUUCAGGUUCAAGUCCCCUAUUGCAAUCUAUACAAGGUCCACCUUGGCAAUUGUGAGUGGCUCCCACAUCCUGUUUAUCCUGUUUAUCCCACUUGCUCCUGUGUGUUGAGGCUCACUUGGCUGCUCCUCUGCUGGUCUGUUGGAGAGUCCCCUAGUCCCAGAGAGAGACACCUCUUUCCAGACAGAACAGUCUUCUCACUGUUCCUCACACACACCAUGGUCGUUUGUUCGUUCAUAUAUCCAUGGAACAUCCACUGUGUGCCAGGCACUGUUCCAGGAACUGAGGAUUCAGUGGUGAACAGUAAAGACAGAGUCCUUGACCUCAUCAAGCUUCUAUGCUCAUGGAGGUAGGCAGGCUCGAAACAAAAACUUUAAAAUGUCAGAAAACAAGAAGGUAUGAGAAGUUACCUGGUACUUGAAAAGCCUUACACCCUCUGCCUAGACUUUUCAGAAUGUGACUUCCUGCUUCCUAACCCAGCUCAAGUUCCACUUUCCCCUUGGAGGCAGAGAACUCCUCUGAGCCAUCAUCCCGAACUGUUGCCCAGGGGCUUGUACCACAUAAUUUAGCACUCAACUGUGCUCUAAUUGUUUCCCUAAUGCCAAUUAUGCUUCCCCAACAGACUGUAGGAGACUGUUAACUCUUUGAGGUUAUAGGAUAUGCCUUCCAUUUAAAUAUAUUUAGUCAAGCUCUAGCUGGGAUGCUGUUUAGAGGGAAAUGAAAAGCACAGUUCAAACAUGACUUUAGGUUUUUAAGCCGAUUCCCAGAUAACAAGAGAACUUCUUCCUGUGCUCCCGAAAUCCUCUAAAAUAAGAAUGUAAAGUUAGGACAAUAGUUUGUUUAUUUGCUGAACUUACAUCCCCCAAAAAGUCCUAGACUCUGUAAGGAAAUCUUUAAAACAACAAACAUACCUUAAAUCGGGCAACAGCAAGAUUAGAGGGACUAGCAGGAGAGAAAUAUCCAACAAGCUCAGAGAGGGAGGAUAGGUAAGUACAAAAAAUGUCAAAUUCCAAAAAAUGCUUAGUUUAGAGUUUAGCCCAAACAAUAUUCUUCUGGGCCCCCUCACACUCUGUGGAAUCCAAGCAGGCCAAGAAAACCCAGAAACAAUACAAAUGUCAUCAAUAAAAGACUGGUUAAAGAAGUAAUGGUGCCUUCAUACUGUGGGCUGGUAUGUGGAAAAAAUAAAGUAGUUAAAGCUAUUUACACAGACAUAAAAAGUUUGAUCAUUAUAUAGUUUAAGAAGCAAGUCUCAGAGCAAUAUAGAUAAUAGAAUCCUUUCAAUUUAAAAACUGUAUGUAUAUAUGUGUGUGUGUGUGUGUGUAUACACACCAAAUUGUUUGCCAUGGAUAUUUCUGGUAAUGGGGUUACAGGUAAUAGGUUGGGGGAGACAGGUAGGAGAAUUUAACAACUUAUUUUUGCUUUAUAUAUUUGUGAAAUGUUAUAUAUCCUUCAUUUGUUUUAUUUAGAAUGAGCAUGUAUUGUUUUGAUAAAACAAUAAACAAC